GCUUAUAGCUGAACAUAUCCACAAAACAGCUGGCAAUACUUCAUCUGCAACAGUAGUUGACAGCAGUAAGGAAGAUGGUGGGGAUGUAGUAGAGGAAUCAACCGAUUCAUUGUGUGUUGAAGAGGCUACAGAAUUUGUUUUAGAAGAAACCAAGAACUGCGACGAUGGGCACACAAUAUAAUCGUAAACCAAAAAAAAAAGAUCAAAGUUCUGUCAGACUAAUUUAUCAACAAAAACGAAACCAGUAAACACUGAAAGAAAAAAGAUGGUCAAUAAAGGCACACAGACAGAUUACAUACAGAAUGCUGCAUCUCACAUGUCUCAUGCAAAACCACCCAUGAUAGAUGACUAUUGUUGGGUAAGACCAGAGCACAUAGAACAAGAAAUGGUAAAACCCCUACUUAAAUCACAGAAAAGAGUAUCCAACAGUAGUGCUGAUCAUGAACCACUUUCAUCCCCAUUUAAAGACUCGGAUGUACUUGAUCCAACUUUUGAACCAAGUUCUUCAGAUUUGUCAGAAAAUGAACAGGACAUGGAGAAUGAUAACCAUAGAAGGUAUACAUUUGUGUUAUUAUUGUGAACUGAUCAUAUUGCAUAUAUUUAUUUAUAUAUAUAUAUAUAUUCAGUCU
Long non-coding RNA from Mytilus californianus (California mussel), 629 nucleotides. RefSeq lists it as uncharacterized. The record is from RefSeq and is a predicted model, not a curated record. The transcript has 3 exons. Lineage: Eukaryota; Metazoa; Mollusca; Bivalvia; Mytilida; Mytilidae.